Molecule: long non-coding RNA, 339 nt
Organism: Cydia pomonella (codling moth)
Lineage: Eukaryota; Metazoa; Arthropoda; Insecta; Lepidoptera; Tortricidae
Exons: 2
Source: RefSeq, a predicted model, not a curated record
UAGGGGGAGUCCGGGAGAUAUGACCAGGUGGGAGAGUUGAACCACGACAAAUAUUUCAAUUCAAAUUUCGCGCCACCGACGCCGUUGACAGCUCAUGUCAUACUUUAACAGAAGGCGCAACUUUUGGCGACGCCAUAUUGGCCGCUAUUAGUCUGGUUUGGAAAUGACUGGAGUAAACGUGGUUUCGCUGUCGCGAAGUGAAAAAAAUUACAAUUUUAUAUUUUUACACUAUUUUGAAAAUUAAACAGGCCAAACGUCAAAGGAGGUAAGAGGAAGGUGUUGCAAGAUAGCGACAAGAGAAAAAAAUCCAAAAAUAAAAUAAAAAACAAGUGUUGUGUU